AUGUCCCUUUUCUUCUUUGGGGAUGUAGGAAGAGGAGAGAAAGAAGUCGUGUUGCAAUGGUGUUCAAAUCUGGCUAUGUCUUUUGCCUAUAUAUACGACAUUAUGGACAAGAAGAAUCUCAUCGACGAUGGAGUGCUGUGCUUCUUCUAUGUCCCCAGCCAUCUGCAGCAGGUAGCAUCUCUGCAAGUGAGGUUACAACUUACAAGGCAACUGUGCCUCCAUUAUCGGGGGCAAGCUCAUCUGCACGGGCGUUUAGACCUGGAUCAUGAGGCCGGUGAGCUGUACUCCCUCCGUCCCAUAAUAUUUGAACGUUUUUGA
Molecule: ribosomal RNA, 318 nt
Filed under: Triticum aestivum (bread wheat)
Lineage: Eukaryota; Viridiplantae; Streptophyta; Magnoliopsida; Poales; Poaceae
Description: partial small subunit ribosomal RNA
Source: RNAcentral